GGAAUACAUACGCCUGAAAACAAGGACAAUUAUCAGAACGUGUACAAAUACCGACCAUGCAGGUGAAAUUUUUGUUACGGUUGUUUGGGAUUUUUAUUUGCAGUGUUAACAUUGCUAAAGGGAGUUCCUACGCUGAUGAGGUUAAAACCUUGUUAAGGAAACAUUUCAACAACGAAAACAAUAUAUGUUGGAGCACAGCUACGUUAAUGGCAAACCAAAAUAAAGGUGACAAAAAUAAGAGCAUGGCAAUAACUCUGAUCAACGUGUACACACAAGAGUGCCACGAAUACAACGAUAACACCAACGGUUGGCCGUUUUUUUAGAGCACUGAAUACAAAACUUCGAGAAAAAACUGGUGAAAACAUUUGGCUAGACACAGAAAGCUUGCUAAAUCAGGGAUUGGAAAUGAUAGGCAUUGAAACAUGGGAUCUGCUUUACAGGUCUUGUUUCUGUAACAAUAUCAAAAAGGGAUCCACAAUUAUAGUUGAUGACUUCUGGAGUACAUCAUUGGAGGCACGCGCGUCAAACAAUUUUCUAAAUAAAAACAAAAUAUUUUUCCAGAUUAUUGAUGCUCGACGCGGGGCAAAUAUUCGCAAGUAUUCAACAUACAGCGGGGAAAAAGAAAUUCUACUACAAUCGAAAAGUGAAUUCUAUGUUACAGAAUAUUUCACGGAUGCAACUGGCAUAAAAAACAAGAAAGAAGCUGUAAAUGAGUCGGAUUGUUUGGAACGACAUGAAAGCGUUUGCAGUCGUGACAAGCAAUAUUCCUACACGAGCUAUUAGGUCGGUUUCCAACUAUUGCGAUUGCUCGGCUGGCACGACAUCUGAUGCUUCUAUGCCUGCAAGACGUUCAAGUGCCUUGUUUGUCAUUGUCUUUAUGAUAGUUCGGUACAUGCGAACAAAAUAAACUUGUAUGUGCAAAAUUCGAGUUUUAGAGCAUAACAUUUUUGAAAUGACCAAUGUCAAUUUUGUUGAACAAAAUUCAUAGAAAAACAACAACAAAUAUAUAAAUGUGUAUAUCUAGUAAUCAAAGUGCCUUUAACAAAUCUUUGCGUGUUUUAAUUGCUGUAUUUUUAUUUUCAAUUGUUGUAUUCUAUUGUCUUUGAGUUGUUUCUCCUUGUUUGUACAAUGAUACUUUUAUUAUGAGAAUAUAUGAAGACAUAGUUUUAAACCUUGCUAAGGCAAUCUAAAGCAGAUGGCUGUCUUUAAAUGACUUUAUCGUAUAAGGGCUAGCAAGCUCCUGCAUGAUUCAUUCCUUUGCAUGUAAUGUCUGUAUCGGGUCAUUGAGUACUUAAAUCUAAGGUCAUUACCAUAUUGAGUAGAUUAAGCCCCCAGUAGUGUUCCAGCAUUAUAAUGAUACAUUCAUUCGCAAUCGGUUAUAAAGACGAGGGUUGUCCGGAAAUUUUUGAGACUGCAUUCAUAAAAAAACAAACAACUCAUAGGAUGCAUUUAAAAUUUAAUCAGCUGACAGUUUUUUCUGCUAUAAACAAAUCCUAAAUGUUUCAACAAUAUACUACGAGGUAAACGUGUGCAACAAACAUAACAAAUAAUAUAGGUUACAAGUCACGGAGCACUUCGUAGUCUCAUUGCGUCACUUCAUAUAGUUUGUUUUUUCAAAAUUCGCUCUUUCUGCACGUACAGACUUAUGAUUGCUUCUGUCCUGUUUAGCUCAACAGGGUCGCCAAUUUCCAUCACUGUCCUCCGCCGGUCUUCUUGUAACAUGUCCUGCACUGAACUUAUGUCACUUUCACUCACUACUGACGGUUGGCGCUCCACUUUAAAUCGCACACAUUUUCAUGCCCGACAUAAAAAGGUCCAGGCUAGCGAAAUACCAAAACCCUUGAACAUGUUGGCUUUGAUUAAUCCAGUGUUAGAACCGUAUAAGUAUUUGUUAAGGUUAUCCCGCUGCGAGCACAAUAUUUUAUCACAGCGCACUGCUCCGUGCGUGACGUCAAUGUUAAGUUUUUUUCAGUCAUCUUUGAAAAAAAUAUGUCUACUUUUGUUGACCGUUCCAAACUUGUUUAAAGUUAGAUGACGUCAAUAAUUUGCGCAGUGGUACAGCUGACUUCAUACUUUUGGCGUCUAUUAUUCAGACUGUGUAGUAUUUAUUAAUUGUAAACAAUUUUCAGAACAAUUUUCGUGGACUGUCUAUAUACACAGCUAUAUAUUGUUUGUUGAUUUAUAUUAAUAAAGGUUUUGAAAUAUAGA
Long non-coding RNA from Mya arenaria, 2208 nucleotides. RefSeq lists it as uncharacterized. The transcript has 2 exons. Lineage: Eukaryota; Metazoa; Mollusca; Bivalvia; Myida; Myidae. The record is from RefSeq and is a predicted model, not a curated record.